Molecule: non-coding RNA, 181 nt
Organism: Pelobates cultripes (western spadefoot toad)
Lineage: Eukaryota; Metazoa; Chordata; Amphibia; Anura; Pelobatidae
Source: the annotation of a GenBank genome assembly
AUAACAAUACAGGACUCUUUAGAGGCCCUGUAAUUGUAAUGAGUCAACUUGAAAUCCUUUAACCAUAAUCAAUUGGAGGGCAAGUCUGGUGCAGAGCGACUGACCCCUGCAUGCUGCAGCUGAAACUAUUGCCUGCUGCUGCUCGCACAGUCUCUCCAGCAUGUGCAAGGUCAAGUUCCAC